ACAAGGGCCCUUUUCAGGGCCACAAUUGAUUAAUUUAUUUAUUUAGU
Aedes aegypti (yellow fever mosquito) is the source of this 47-nucleotide non-coding RNA. The record is from Rfam. NCBI's taxonomy places the organism in Eukaryota, Metazoa, Arthropoda, Insecta, Diptera, Culicidae.